AGAGUUUGAUCAUGGCUCAGAAUGAACGCUGGCGGCGUGCUUAACACAUGCAAGUCGAACGAGAAAGCUUUAGCUUGCUAGAGCGAGUAAAGUGGCGAACGGGUGAGUAACGCGUGGGUAACCUACCCCUAAACCAGGAAUAACUACUCGAAAGGGUAGCUAAUACCGAAUAAUGCCUCUUGAUCUUCGGGUCAUAGGGCCAAAGGUGGCCUCUCUGUAGAAGCUACUGUUUAGGGAUGGGCCCGCGUACCAUUAGCUUGUUGGUAGGGUAAUGGCCUACCAAGGCUGUGAUGGUUAGCUGGUCUGAGAGGAUGAUCAGCCACACUGGAACUGGAACACGGUCCAGACUCCUACGGGAGGCAGCAGUGAGGAAUCUUGCGCAAUGGGGGAAACCCUGACGCAGCAACGCCGCGUGAGGGAUGACGGUCUUCGGAUUGUAAACCUCUUUCGAUCGGGAAGAAUAUCUUUGACGUGAAUAACGUCAAGGACUGACGGUACCGGGAGAAGAAGCCACGGCCAACUCCGUGCCAGCA
RNAcentral lists this ribosomal RNA (533 nucleotides) under uncultured bacterium. Its description in RNAcentral is "bacterial SSU rRNA". It matches the Rfam family "Bacterial small subunit ribosomal RNA", at positions 8 to 513 of the family's 1533-position model. The record is from RNAcentral.